CCCAUCUUCACUCACAGACAAGUGUCUCUGGAGAAAUCUGCAGUACCAGGUGGGACAGGCAAAGCUUCCACAAAUCCACCUCCUCUCACUUUUUUUAGGAAACAUCAAAAUACCUUGGAAAGUUUCUGCUGCUCCUAAGAACUCAGAUCUUUCCCUUCCAGACAGAAAAGGGCUUCUUUGCUUCUGAUAAAAACCAGGAGCACUGGGAAGACAUCUUGACCCCUUUUCUGAGCAACCAAAUUGCAGCAAAUGCCUCUGAAACCCUACAAAGGAGAACAGGGGGUUCUUCUGUGAUUUCAUACUCCAGUUCCACAAGGUUCAUCUGAGCAGGGGUGUUAAACUUGGAGUCUUGGCUGGACUCCAGCACAGUGCAGUGACAGUGUCCCAAGCACAGUCUGCUCUUCGUCACACGUUGCUCUCCUUCCCAGAGCACAUUUGAUGAGACACAAAAUGAUCUCCACUGAUCGAUUCCCUCAGGAAGCUGCUCCAGAGGUACCAAGGAUAAUUAUAGGGUGAAGGCUGUGGAGCUGUAGCCCACCCUCAUGUUCACCAGGAUAAAAUCCAGCCCUACCUCCCUGGAUCCUUCUGGGGUCCAUCCAACUCAGGAUAUUCUAUGAUUUUAUGGCUUCCAUGCAGCUCAAAACAUUCCAGCUGAGUGUGAGGACACAUGGGAUGGACAAACAGCACCAAAAGCAAAUUCCCCCUGUCCCACUGUGUGGGUUCUGCCUGAAGAGGCCAAGGGGACAAGCAGAGUUCUGUGUAACACCCCAGGGGAGGCCUGUGGGGAGAAGAAACCUCUUCUCCCAAAUGCUUUCCCUGCAGUCUCAGUCUCUGUCACCCUGAGGCUGUUGACCCCCUCUUGGAACAAACAACCAUGAAGAGCUAGGAGAAAUUCGGUCACACUCUGUGCUACUUCUGAGUGCUCAGCACGUGGUGCAGGAGGAGGAGGAGGAGGAGGAGGAGGACAGGCAGCUCCUCCUGCCCAUCUGCAGGUG
Molecule: long non-coding RNA, 995 nt
Organism: Corapipo altera (White-ruffed manakin)
Lineage: Eukaryota; Metazoa; Chordata; Aves; Passeriformes; Pipridae
Exons: 3
Source: RefSeq, a predicted model, not a curated record